CCUACGGGAGUCAGCAGUGGGGGAUCUUGCACAAUGGGGGGAACCCUGAUGCAGCGACGCCGCGUGGGUGCAGAAGCGCCUCGGCGCGUAAAGCCCUGUCAGCAGGGGAGAAAAUGACGGUACCUGAAGACGAAGCCCCGGCUAACUACGUGCCAGCCGCCGCGGUCAUACGUAGGGGGCAAGCGUUAUCCGGAUUUACUGGGUGUACAGGGGGCGCAGACGGCGAUGCAAGCCAGGAGUGAAAGCCCGGGGCCCAACCCCGGGACUGCUGUUGGAACUGCGUGGCUGGAGUGCGGGAGGGGCAGGCGGAAUGCGUGGUGUAGCGGUGAAAUGCGUAGAUAUCAGGAGGAACACCGGUGGCGAAGGCGGCCUGCUGGACUGCAACUGACGUUGAGGCCCGAAAGCGUGGGGAGCAAACAGGAUUAGAUACCCCAGUAGUC
RNAcentral lists this ribosomal RNA (440 nucleotides) under uncultured bacterium. RNAcentral describes it as "partial 16S ribosomal RNA". It matches the Rfam family "Bacterial small subunit ribosomal RNA", at positions 338 to 795 of the family's 1533-position model. The record is from RNAcentral.